UACGUAGGGUGCGAGCGUUGUCCGGAAUUAUUGGGCGUAAAGAGCUCGUAGGCGGUCUGUCGCGUCGGUCGUGAAAACUUGGGGCUUAACCCUGAGCUUGCGGUCGAUACGGGCAUGACUGGAGUUCGGCAGGGGAGACUGGAAUUCCUGGUGUAGCGGUGAAAUGCGCAGAUAUCAGGAGGAACACCGGUGGCGAAGGCGGGUCUCUGGACAGUUCCUGACACUGAGGCACGAAGGCCAGGGGAGCAAACGGG
This 254-nucleotide ribosomal RNA is filed under the name uncultured bacterium. RNAcentral describes it as "partial 16S ribosomal RNA". It matches the Rfam family "Bacterial small subunit ribosomal RNA", at positions 524 to 776 of the family's 1533-position model. The record is from RNAcentral.